UGAUAAUCAAUUAAUACAAUUUAAUACAAUCAUUCAUUAUGAGUCAUAUACAUGAAAUUACCCCAAUUAAUCAUAAUGUUUUACAAUACUGAAAGAAUUAAUUAAGCAAAAGUGUACUAACCAAAACAUUUUGUGGUAGGGCUUGGAGAACAAAUUUAUCUGAACAGAAAAGUGAAUCUUCAUAGCACUGUCUCUUUGCAGGUGUGGUGAAAAUACAAUCAUCAUGACUAUCAAACUCCAAAUUAAAAUGCGACAAAGCAACACUUUUGCGACAAAGCAACACUUUUCCUUCCAAAUGAUGUACUUUUUCACCGGUUUCAUUCCAUACCCUCAUUUGCUCUGUACACAAUUGACUCAAAUUUCUUCCCCAUCGCCAUUUUUUCUAUUUGCAAACUUCAACAAAACGAUCAGAAUUAUCUUAAUAAUAAGUUAGAAUCCAAAUUAAAAUCUUAAAAUAAUAGGAUGCCCACAAAGCAAAAUCAGAAAAAAUUUGUUGUCACUUCCCAUAAAUCCCCCUGGCAGAUGUAUAAUUUUGUGUACAGUUCAACGUUCCAAAAUUUUGAGAAGUCCUAAUUUGACGCAGAAAUCAUUGUAAAAUGUGUGAAUAAGAAACAAGUAAAAUUUAAAUUUAGAAACAAUUAAAA
RNAcentral lists this long non-coding RNA (644 nucleotides) under Olea europaea subsp. europaea. The record is from RNAcentral. Lineage: Eukaryota; Viridiplantae; Streptophyta; Magnoliopsida; Lamiales; Oleaceae.